Molecule: unclassified non-coding RNA, 279 nt
Filed under: Cyphellophora oxyspora
Lineage: Eukaryota; Fungi; Ascomycota; Eurotiomycetes; Chaetothyriales; Cyphellophoraceae
Description: partial internal transcribed spacer region
Rfam family: Eukaryotic small subunit ribosomal RNA (bases 1-46)
Source: RNAcentral
AAGUCGUAACAAGGUUUCCGUAGGUGAACCUGCGGAAGGAUCAUUACCGAGUUAGGGUGUCAAACUUAUGCGCCCGACCUCCAACCCUUUGUCUACUUGACCUUAUGUUGCUCCGGCAGGCCCGCUGGUGUCCCUUUGGGGCCCGGCCGCCGGGGGUCCUCGUGGCCCCGGGUCCGCGCCUGCCGAUGGCCCCUUCUUAAACUAUUGUUAAAACGUGUCGUCUGAGUUUAUGAUUAAACAAUCAAAACAAAACUUUCAACAACGGAUCUCUUGGUUCUG